This 591-nucleotide long non-coding RNA is filed under the name Phascolarctos cinereus (koala). RNAcentral describes it as "lncRNA (ENSPCIG00000032203.1)". The record is from RNAcentral. Lineage: Eukaryota; Metazoa; Chordata; Mammalia; Diprotodontia; Phascolarctidae.
GCGGAGGUUUAGCCUAGCAGAGGUGGGGUUAUAGACUUGGGCCGAGGGGGCGGAGCUGAGACCAGGCUUCGCAGGCCCCGCCUCCAAUCCUGCCAGCAUCCCUGAUUGGCCGGAGCUGUCCGAGGGCUGGUUCUGAGGGCUCCUGCGGGGAGUGAAAGCAUAGCAGAAAAGAGCUUUGGGCGCUGGAGGGAAAGGGGAGAGGAAAGUUUGGACCACAGGCCAGGUAGGGAUUCCACAGGAACGCCUGCGACGGUGGACCAGCGAUGGGAAAGAACAGUGUGUGUUCAGGUGAUCCAGGCGUCCGGUUGGGCUGGAGAGGAGUGCUGAGGGCUCAUGUUCUGCUGUGUGAAAACCCACUAGGACUCUAUUUCCUGAAGAAUACAUUCUGGAGUUGGAGUCUUCAAUUAACCUCUUAUUCUCUGUCUACAUAAGCUUUAUCUCCCUACAUCUCUACAUUUCCCCCAAUAAGGGGAGUACUGAGGAAGAUAAAAUGGGCCCCGUGAUUCUUCCAGCCAAGGACCCCCAAGUAAGUGAGAGUUUCCUUUUUCCUAAUAUAAUGUGUUGGUUCUCAAAGUAUGGACACGUUUUCCU